RNAcentral lists this long non-coding RNA (2944 nucleotides) under Nicotiana tabacum (common tobacco). RNAcentral's name for it is "long non-coding RNA (NTAB_LNC006458)". The record is from RNAcentral. Lineage: Eukaryota; Viridiplantae; Streptophyta; Magnoliopsida; Solanales; Solanaceae.
UUAUUUACAUUUUACUUCCUUACUUUUAUUUUAUGACACAAUGCUAAUCACGUAAUCGCCUUUCCCUCUCUAUUUUUCUCUCUUGUUACAAAACUUUCUUUCUCGCGCUCUUUCCUCCAUUUUGGCGAUUUAGGGUUCAGAGAAGAAAACUUUCUCUCUCCUGAUGAAAUGGCAAGAUCUCUUACUCCUUCUAAUCUACCAUUGUCUUUUGUACUACUACGAACAUAUAUGAGUACUUCACUAGAAUUUUCGUUGUUUUAAAGUAAUUUAUCGGUGCGAUUUUGCGAGAUUCACCUUGGUAAAGUACUUUGUAGCUCUUCGUCCUCUCCUUCCUAAUCUGUUGAAAGAUCAAAUUGGGUUUUUGAUUAUGUUUUCCUAAUCUCUGAAUUUCAGUAGUUUUUGCAUGUGCUUUUGAUUUAGGUUUUCUCUGCUCAACUUUGGUUAUAGAAGAAGAAGGUUUUUUGCCCACUUCAAAACAGUAAUUAUAAUAGUACUGGGUGGUUAUAUUCUUGUUUCUGGUAGGAUGAACUUUUCUUGAUUAUUUUUAAUAUAGAAUUCAUAGUUUAAUUAAGAUGAAUGGGAACUCAAAAAGUGAAUAGUUUGGUGGGUCCAUGAGUAGAUUUAAUUCAUGUGCAGAGGCGAACCCAAAAUUUUGAGUUUACGGGUUCCUAUAACAAUUUCAAGUUAAUAUACAAUAAUAACUGGGUUCAUGAUCAAAUAUAUAUACUGAUAUUUGGUGAAUUUCUUAAUAUAUAUACUGGGUCUAGAAAAAGCUACUUGGUUCACGUGAAGCUCUAAGUUCCCCUUAUAUCCGCCCUAUUCAUGUGUACAUGUAUUGUUCUAUUAGCAGUUUCGGUUGCUCAGGAAAAUGAUACGAUUCUUUCGUUUCUUUGGGCCACUGGCCAUCCGCAUUUGAUUUUUCAAUAGAAAGGUAAUAACCCUAGACCCUUGCCCCGAGAAAUAAAUUAAACCAAUUAGAAAGAUGAUCUAAUGUAGUUGAAAGAACCUACAGGAAUGGCUGAUUUGUGGAUAAUAAUUAUAGCAAAACAAUUUGAAAAAAGUAGAUAAAGAAUGAGAAGAAUCUGAAAUCUACUAAAAUGCCUAACAUUCUGGGACCACAAAUAAUAAAUAUGUCAACGUAGUUUUGUGAUUUAUAGAUCUCAUAGAUGCAAUGAGAAAAGAAAAACCUGAAAGAAGUAUUAUUGCGAAAAGUUUAAAUUUUGACAUAUUUGCCAUUUUUUGCCGCUCACAUGUAACAUAAUAUGGAUAUACCACUAAAAGAUGGAUAAACAAGUUACUUUAAAAUAAAAACCAUUAUCUUCUUAUUCAUCACUGGAUGAUAACAGGUCGUAAUAGGUGAAAUUUGCAAUUUUUUCUAACAGAGUUCUUAUGUCUAUAUCUGUUGUUAAGAGAGACCAAAAGGAGUAGCAAUUAAACAAAGAUCAUCCUUUCUUCCGCCAGCUACCCCAAUUGUUUCGGUCAUAUUUAAAUUGUCUGGAGCAAUUCCAUGAGGAGUCUUCCAGUCGAAGUGAUAAAGCAGUUGAGCUAAAGGAUGUCCGACAUUAACUAAACCAAAUAACAGUCCCGGACACAUUCUUCUUCCUGCACCAAACGGAAUAAAUUCAAAGUGGUUUCCUCUGAAAUCAAUAGAAUUAUUCUCAAAUCUCUCAGGUAUAAAACUUUCCGGAUUAUGCCAAUUUGUAGAUUCUCUUCCAAUUGCCCAUACAUUCACCAGAACUCUAGUUUUGAUGGGUAUUAUAUAUUUGUCAAUUUUUGUUUCUUCUCUGCAUUCCCUUGGGAUUAAUAGAGGAACAGGAGGGUGCAACCUUAAUGUUUCUUUAAUCACUAGGUUUAGAUACUUCAACUCUUCUAGAUCAAUAUCCUCAAAUGUUCUCUUUCCUUUUAGGACUUCUCUAACUUCAAGUUGUGCUUUAGCCAUAACACUUGGAUUUCUUAUCAUUUCAGCCAUAGCCCAAAUAAUUGUUGUAGCUGAGGUUUCAGCUCCUGCUAAGAACAUGUCCUGCAUGUAAAGGCUAACGUUUCAAUAUUGUACUCUAGCAUAAAUAUUAACUUCAAUGUUUAAAUACUAUAAAUAAUAAAAUGAAAAAAGAAAACAAAAUGAAAUAUCUCAUAUGGUAUUAGACUUACAAAAAUAACACUUUUGAUAUUCUCAUUUGUGAUUGGAGUUCCCAAUUCGCCACUCUCCAUGACUCGAAGUAGAACAUCGAUCAAAUCUUCACCUCCAGUCUCACCAUUGCUCUUCUUUCCGUUAGCUCGACUUUCCUGAUGCUCAUUAAGGAUAUUCUCCAAAAUUGCAUCUACCUUUUUGUGAACCUUCAACAUUUUGGACUUCAAUCCAGUAAUCUUGUGAAGCCAUUUUCGGGAAGGGAACAUAUCAGCCAAGUCAAAUCCUGCAGCUAAUGAUGAUAUGUCCUUCACCAACAUUAUCAACUUAUCUUGAUCAUGAAUCACUUUCCCGAAAGCUGACCUACAAGUUACUGAACUUGUAAACCAAAACAUUUUGUCUGAUAAGUUAAUCAAUGAGUCAUCAGGCAUGGAGUUAACGGAUGAAAUGAGACUUGACAUCUGUGCUUGUCGAAUUGAAUUAAAUGACUUGACCAUCUUUGCGCUAAGAAGUUCCACGAUGCACACUUUGCGCAUAUUUCUCCAGUGAUCACCAUAUGGACAAGUUAUAAUGUCUGUGUAGUUGUAGAAAAUAAUAUCUCCGGCCAUAAAUUCAGGCCUAGUAGCAAAGCGAAGGUCUUGAGUUUUCAUAAUUUCUUUUGCCAUCUCAGGUGAAGAUACAACAAUGAUCGAUAUUUCUCCAAGACGUAAGUGAAAGAUUGGCCCGUAUCUUCGCGAUAGACUUCUGAGAGUAUGAUGUACUGGAAGGCGGCCAUUCAUAAAUAGGUGCAAGUUCCCAAUCAAAGGUGGACUCCAUGGC